Molecule: ribosomal RNA, 474 nt
Filed under: uncultured bacterium
Lineage: Bacteria
Description: SSU rRNA
Rfam family: Bacterial small subunit ribosomal RNA
Source: RNAcentral
AGGAUAAACGCUGGCGGCGUGCCUAACACAUGCAAGUCGAACGUCUCUUCUUUCGGGAAGAGGAGUGGCGGACGGGUGAGGAACACGUGGGAACCUGCCCUUUAGUGAGGAAUACCGGCGAGAAAUCGCCGACAAGACCGCAUAGCCCUCUUUGAUGAGAGUCAAAGAAGGAAAGCUUCGCAAGAGGCGCUAGAGGAGGGGCCUGCGUCCGAUUAGCUAGUUGGUGGGGUAAGAGCCUACCAAGGCGUCGAUCGGUAGCUGGUCUGAGAGGACGAUCAGCCACACUGGGAUUGAGAACGGCCCAGACUCCUACGGGGGGCAGCAGUGAGGAAUUUUCGGCAAUGGGGGAAACCCUGACCGAGCAACGCCGCGUGCAGGAAGACGGCCUUCGGGUUGUAAACUGCUUUUCUUUGGGACGAGGAAGGACGGUACCGAGAGGGAAUCAGCCCCGGCUCACUACGUGCCAGCAGCCGC